This 770-nucleotide ribosomal RNA is filed under the name Enterococcus faecium. RNAcentral's name for it is "partial 23S ribosomal RNA". It matches the Rfam family "Bacterial large subunit ribosomal RNA", at positions 12 to 785 of the family's 2925-position model. Lineage: Bacteria; Bacillati; Bacillota; Bacilli; Lactobacillales; Enterococcaceae. The record is from RNAcentral.
UAAGGGCGCACGGUGGAUGCCUUGGCACUAGGAGCCGAUGAAGGACGGGACUAACACCGAUAUGCUUUGGGGAGCUGUACGUAAGCUAUGAUCCAGAGAUUUCCGAAUGGGGGAACCCAACAUCUUUAAUAGGAUGUUACGAUUGUGUGAAUACAUAGCACAUUCGAGGUAGACGCAGAGAACUGAAACAUCUAAGUACCUGCAGGAAGAGAAAGAAAAUUCGAUUCCCUGAGUAGCGGCGAGCGAAACGGGAAAAGCCCAAACCAGCAAGCUUGCUUGUUGGGGUUGUAGGACUCCAAUAUGGUAGUUCUUUCAGAUAGUCGAAUGACUUGGAAAAGUCAGUCAAAGAGGGUAAAAACCCCGUAGACGAAAUGUGGAAGACACCUAGGAGGAUCCUGAGUACGGCGGAACACGAGAAAUUCCGUCGGAAUCCGGGAGGACCAUCUCCCAAGGCUAAAUACUCCCUAGUGACCGAUAGUGAACCAGUACCGUGAGGGAAAGGUGAAAAGCACCCCGGAAGGGGAGUGAAAUAGAACCUGAAACCGUGUGCCUACAACAAGUCAAAGCCCGUUAAUGGGUGAUGGCGUGCCUUUUGUAGAAUGAACCGGCGAGUUACGAUUGCAUGCGAGGUUAAGUUGAAGAGACGGAGCCGCAGCGAAAGCGAGUCUGAAUAGGGCGUUUGAGUAUGUAGUCGUAGACCCGAAACCAUGUGAUCUACCCAUGUCCAGGUUGAAGGUGCGGUAAAACGCACUGGAGGACCGAACCCACGU